UACGUAGGGCGCAAGCGUUGUCCGGAAUUAUUGGGCGUAAAGAGCUCGUAGGCGGUUUGUCGCGUCUGCUGUGAAAACCUAAGGCUCAACCUUGGGCUUGCAGUGGGUACGGGCAGACUAGAGUGCGGUAGGGGUGACUGGAAUUCCUGGUGUAGCGGUGGAAUGCGCAGAUAUCAGGAGGAACACCGAUGGCGAAGGCAGGUCACUGGGCCGCAACUGACGCUGAGGAGCGGAAAGCAUGGGGGAGCGAACAGG
RNAcentral lists this ribosomal RNA (255 nucleotides) under uncultured bacterium. RNAcentral's name for it is "partial 16S ribosomal RNA". It matches the Rfam family "Bacterial small subunit ribosomal RNA", at positions 524 to 776 of the family's 1533-position model. The record is from RNAcentral.